Molecule: RNA transcript, 3384 nt
Organism: Acanthopagrus latus (yellowfin seabream)
Lineage: Eukaryota; Metazoa; Chordata; Actinopteri; Spariformes; Sparidae
Gene: crlf1b
Gene name: cytokine receptor-like factor 1b
Exons: 9
Source: RefSeq, a predicted model, not a curated record
AUUCAUAAAAAGGUGUUAGAGAGUUAUCAGGGCCGAGCUGCGGGAGGCAGAUGUCCCGCACCGAGCUGGCAGAUGGAGCGAUUGUUCAAGUAUCGACACUUCACACACGAUCGAUGUCACAGUUGAUCAGCUUAAUGUAAAUAUCCUGAGGGCCACAGCAUCUAUCAGCUGAGGAGGGGGAACAAAACGGCUAAAGAAAUGUCAUGACUGUUUGCCCGGUGGUUUAUUUGUGAUGCACUCAGUAACUUGUGUUGAAAUGAUGAUUAUAAUUGAGGAAUAUUGCUCAGUUUUUAAUAGUUGAGCUUAAAGGGGCUCAGUGUAGUUUUGGAGAAAGAAUUGUAAUUUUUACAUUAUUAAUGUAAAUAUUACAAGGUGAUGACACAAAACUCAUACAUAUUUAUCUUUUCCAUAACUGAAUAAACAAGCUGUUCUCGGGGGAAAGUAAGGUCCCACACUGAUUUAUCUGUGAUUGGACAAUAGCAUGCAAUAAUAUCUGUCAGGCUCUAAUAAUUAGAGAAGAGACAAAUAAUAAAAUGGGUAUAACUUAAGAAAAGGUAUUUAAAGGUGCACUAUGUAGUUUUUGGGGAAAUUCAAGUGACUAUUUACAACAGUAAUAAGGUAAUAAUACAAAGAGAGAAAUAGUUAUAUGACAUAUCUACACAUAAACAAGCUGUUCUCAAGGGGAAAAAAGUCCCUAGAUCACUGUUUGAAACUAGAGAGGUGGAAACUUAGUAAAGUCCUGCAAACAUACUAAAAAAUGAAAGUGUGUUUUCCUAGGAGGACAGUUAGAUUUUGAUAACUUCUCUCUCUUUCUCUUUGUCUCUUCUGCUGUGUGUGUGUGUGUGUGUGUGUGUGUGUGUGUGUGUGUGUGUGUGUGUGUGUGUGUGUGUGUGUGUGUGUGUGUGUGUGUGUGUGUGUUUAGACAGGGAGGGGACGUGUUGAGGAGCACUAAUGGCUCGUGGCUGUGUGGGAAAACAAAGGAGGAGCAAACAGCGUGAGCCCGAGAACAGCAGCAGCAGAGUCAGUCUGGAGUUUAAAAGGGAGCAAAGCUCCUGUUUCACUCAGUUUCCUCCUUCUGAGGAGCCGCUGGAGAGCGAAGCUGCUCCAACAGGGACAAAGACAGAGAGGGAGGACAUAAAGCUGACAGAACCAUGUUCUCCUUCACGUUUCUCCUCCUCCUUGUUCCACAUGUGUUGCUGUCCUCGAGACAUGUCGCAGUGAUCUCCCCUCAGGAUCCCGUCCUGCGCAUCGGCUCCAGCCUGACAGCCACCUGCACGCUGAGCCCCGAGCUCGGCCUCCACUCCAGCUCUUUGUACUGGACCCUGAACGGCCUGCGCCUGUCCAGCAGCAGCUACAGGGUGCUGAGCCCUGACACCGUGAGCGUCACCCUGAGCAACCUGGAUGGCUCCCAGCAGCAGUCUGGAGACAACCUGGUGUGCCAUGGAGCUGAUGGCCACGUCCUGGCCGGUUCGUGUCUCUACGUGGGCAUGCCUCCAGAAAAGCCAGUUAAUUUAUCGUGUUGGUCCCGCAACACGAAGGACCUGAGCUGCAGGUGGACCCCGGGGGGCCGUGGUGAGACCCACAUCCGAACCACAUACACCCUCAAGUACAAAUUGAGGUGGUACGGGACAGAGAGGGAGUGUGAAGACGACGUCACAGGGAAGCAGCGGUACUCCUGCCACAUCCCCCGCAACCUGGCUCUCUUCACCCCGUAUGAGAUCUGGGUGGAGGCAGCCAAUCAGCUGGGCUCUGCCACCUCUGACAUCACCACCCUGGACAUCCUCGAUGUAGUGACUACAGACCCUCCUGCCAACGUGCAGGUGAAUCGUGUUGGCCACCUCGAGGACCAGCUGACGGUCCGCUGGGCGAGCCCCCCCGAGCUCAAGGACGUCCUGUUUCAGGCCAAAUACCAGAUCCGCUACAGACUGGAGGACAGCACUGAAUGGAAGGUGGUGGAUGACGUAGGUAACCAGACGUCAUGUAGGCUGGCAGGCCUCCAGCCCGGGACUGUUUAUUUCGUCCAGGUGAGGUGUAAUCCAGUGGGCAUCUACGGCUCUAGAAAGGCCGGCAUCUGGAGUGACUGGAGCCACCCGGCCGCCGCCUCCACACCAGGAAGUGAGCGGCUGCAGAGUGGCUCCUGUGAUCCGAAGCCCGGCGAGCAGAACUCCACCCUGCGGCGGGAACUCAAGCAGUUCUUCGGCUGGGUCCGCAAGCAUGCGUCCGGCUGCAGCGGCAUGUCGAUCAAACUGUACGACCAGUGGAGGGUGUGGCUGCAGAAAACGCACCGAACGCGCAACCAGGUAGGAGCCCCCUUCUCGAAAAUAACUCAGGCCAAAUGGCAGAGCCGGAGCCCCGGCAUCGUCUGAGCGAGAGCAGCCACAUCCUCCUCUGCUCGGCCCUCGAACUCACAGAAACCCUCACUCCACCUGACUCGAUCAGUUCAGCAGUCUCCAGAUUCUGCAAGACGAUAAUUCAUAGCAGCACCGCCCAGCACCACUGUGGUGUUUUAAUUCAAGAACAGCAUCAAGAAACGCUGACAGUUAACUGGCCCCGAGGGCCCCGGCUGUGCGAGAGGUCCAACGCCCUCAGCCUGACUGCAGUUCUUGGUCACAGUCUUGAGUUUAAAGGGCCCGGGUGGAAGAUAAGUGAGACAAUGCAGCCUUUUUCUGCCUUUAUCCGCUGACUGUUAGAUCUGUUUGCACACAUACGAAGGGCCUCAGUGACUGCACCUUUAUUGUAGGGCAAGAAGAGUUAUUGUAACAGAAUGUACAAAACAACCCUGACCCUCCUGUUCCAGGUUAAGACAUGUUUUGUUGUGAAACUGUGGACUCUGCAUGACAUUACAGGGUUAUGAUUGUUAUGUGUCUCCACAUCCAUAACUAUUGGAAAUAGCUCUGUGUAGGGCUGCAACUAUUGACUGCUUUCUUAUAUUGGAUUACAACGGACACAAUUUGUCUUAAAAAUAGAAUAAAUGCAACUCAGAAUCUCUCCAAAACUGCCUUCAACUUUUAACCCCCUCUUUUGACAUCGUCUUCUGAGUUUUCAUUUUGUUGGUUUCUUUGUGAAGUGUCUUUGAGUAUUAUGAAAAGUGCUAUAUAAGUUAAAUGUAUUAUUAUUAUUAUUAUCAUUGUUAUUAUUAUUAACCCUGUCCACAUGGUGAGGGUGCUGAGUGACACUUUCGGACGUCCCCCAGGAACAUCUUUUAACCAUCUGUUUACCUGUUAUUUUAAAUGUAGACCAACCAACCAGAGUACACAGCACAUAUAAGUUUAACAAUAAGCGGUAAAGAUUGACCGAGGUACAUCCAGGUACUACACUGUUAUUGGAUCACAGGUUGGGACUUACGAAGGGUCAAUUAAAUGAUUGUUUCAUCAAUAAAAUGUC